UGGUAACCCCAAGGAGGGCCUGCUGCUGCCUGGGGUUCCAUCCAGGGACCUCUUUUCACUGGGGGCAGCGAGAAGGGAAUAGGAUCCACAAGUCAGGCCUCCUACACGGUCCUUGUUGGGAGCACAGCAGCAGUUGGAGCAGAGGCAGACACCACCCAGAAUGGUCAGCAGAGAGGCACUCCAGCCCAGAGUCAACUGAAAACUUCUCCAUCCAGCCAGAACCCAGGACCCAGCCACACUCUGCUCCUCAGCCAGCUCUUGUCUCCUCUAUCCCUGACCUGCCUUGUUCAUCCCUGCCCUCUAGUGCCUUGAUCAUUUAGUUUCCUCGCUUGGACUGCCCGUCCAUUCUAGAAAGCCCAGCUGCCCUAGUAGUCUUUUCCAACUAGCCCUGUCUGUCCUGACACCUGUGUCCUUUGGCCUCCCAAAGCCCUCAGAGCCUGUGACAUGCCUUUGCCACUCAGGUGAAGUGAAGGCCUGAAGCCAGUGAGAUCCCUGGACAACAGGACCAGCCUUGCCACUCGCUGGGGCCUUGUCCUCUAGUUAGUCACCUGAUCUUUCUGAGUCUAUUUCCACAUCUGAAG
Molossus molossus (Pallas's mastiff bat) is the source of this 581-nucleotide long non-coding RNA. RefSeq lists it as uncharacterized. The record is from RefSeq and is a predicted model, not a curated record. Lineage: Eukaryota; Metazoa; Chordata; Mammalia; Chiroptera; Molossidae. The transcript has 3 exons.